CCUACGGGAGGCAGCAGUAGGGAAUCUUCCACAAUGGGCGAAAGCCUGAUGGAGCGACGCCGCGUGGGUGAAGAAGGUCUUCGGAUCGUAAAACCCUGUUGUUAGAGAAGAAAGAGCGUGAGAGUAACUGUUCACGUUUCGACGGUAUCUAACCAGAAAGCCACGGCUAACUACGUGCCAGCAGCCGCGGUAAUACGUAGGUGGCAAGCGUUAUCCGGAUUUAUUGGGCGUAAAGGUAACGCAGGUGGUCUUUUAAGUCUGAUGUGAAAGCCUUCGGCUUAACAGGGGUAGUGCAUUGAAGACUGUGGGACUUGAGAGCAGAUGCGGAAGGUGGAA
This 336-nucleotide ribosomal RNA is filed under the name uncultured bacterium. RNAcentral describes it as "partial 16S ribosomal RNA". It matches the Rfam family "Bacterial small subunit ribosomal RNA", at positions 338 to 666 of the family's 1533-position model. The record is from RNAcentral.